GAUGAACGCUGGUGGCGUGCCUAAUACAUGCAAGUCGAGCGAACAGAUAAGGAGCUUGCUCCUUUGACGUUAGCGGCGGACGGGUGAGUAACACGUGGGUAACCUACCUAUAAGACUGGGAUAACUUCGGGAAACCGGAGCUAAUACCGGAUAACAUUUGGAACCGCAUGGUUGUAAAGUGAAAGAUGGUUUUGCUAUCACUUAUAGAUGGACCCGCGCCGUAUUAGCUAGUUGGUAAGGUAACGGCUUACCAAGGCGACGAUACGUAGCCGACCUGAGAGGGUGAUCGGCCACACUGGAACUGAGACACGGUCCAGACUCCUACGGGAGGCAGCAGUAGGGAAUCUUCCGCAAUGGGCGAAAGCCUUACGGAGCAACGCCGCGUGAGUGAUGACGGGUUUCGGCUCGUAAAACUCUGUUAUUAGGGAAGAACAAAUGUGUAAGUAACUGUGCACGUCUUGACGGUACCUAAUCAGAAAGCCACGGCUAACUACGUG
Molecule: ribosomal RNA, 497 nt
Filed under: uncultured bacterium
Lineage: Bacteria
Description: partial 16S ribosomal RNA
Rfam family: Bacterial small subunit ribosomal RNA
Source: RNAcentral